This 1359-nucleotide ribosomal RNA is filed under the name uncultured bacterium. Its description in RNAcentral is "bacterial SSU rRNA". It matches the Rfam family "Bacterial small subunit ribosomal RNA", at positions 28 to 1381 of the family's 1533-position model. The record is from RNAcentral.
GAUGAACGCUAGCUACAGGCUUAACACAUGCAAGUCGAGGGGCAUCAGGAAGAAAGCUUGCUUUCUUUGCUGGCGACCGGCGCACGGGUGAGUAACACGUAUCCAACCUGCCCUUUACUCGGGGAUAGCCUUUCGAAAGAAAGAUUAAUACCCGAUAGUAUAAUGAUUCCGCAUGGUUUGAUUAUUAAAGGAUUCCGGUAAAGGAUGGGGAUGCGUUCCAUUAGGUUGUUGGUGAGGUAACGGCUCACCAAGCCUUCGAUGGAUAGGGGUUCUGAGAGGAAGGUCCCCCACAUUGGAACUGAGACACGGUCCAAACUCCUACGGGAGGCAGCAGUGAGGAAUAUUGGUCAAUGGGCGGUAGCCUGAACCAGCCAAGUAGCGUGAAGGAUGAAGGCUCUAUGGGUCGUAAACUUCUUUUAUAUAAGAAUAAAGUGCAGUAUGUAUACUGUUUUGUAUGUAUUAUAUGAAUAAGGAUCGGCUAACUCCGUGCCAGCAGCCGCGGUAAUACGGAGGAUCCGAGCGUUAUCCGGAUUUAUUGGGUUUAAAGGGAGCGUAGGUGGACUGGUAAGUCAGUUGUGAAAGUUUGCGGCUCAACCGUAAAAUUGCAGUUGAUACUGUCAGUCUUGAGUACAGUAGAGGUGGGCGGAAUUCGUGGUGUAGCGGUGAAAUGCUUAGAUAUCACGAAGAACUCCGAUUGCGAAGGCAGCUCACUGGACUGCAACUGACACUGAUGCUCGAAAGUGUGGGUAUCAAACAGGAUUAGAUACCCUGGUAGUCCACACAGUAAACGAUGAAUACUCGCUGUUUGCGAUAUACAGUAAGCGGCCAAGCGAAAGCAUUAAGUAUUCCACCUGGGGAGUACGCCGGCAACGGUGAAACUCAAAGGAAUUGACGGGGGCCCGCACAAGCGGAGAAACAUGUGGUUUAAUUCGAUGAUACGCGAGGAACCUUACCCGGGCUUAAAUUGCAGUGGAAUGAUGUGGAAACAUGUCAGUGAGCAAUCACCGCUGUGAAGGUGCUGCAUGGUUGUCGUCGGCUCGUGCCGUGAGGUGUCGGCUUAAGUGCCAUAACGAGCGCAACCCUUAUCUUUAGUUACUAACAGGUUAUGCUGAGGACUCUAGAGAGACUGCCGUCGUAAGAUGUGAGGAAGGUGGGGAUGACGUCAAAUCAGCACGGCCCUUACGUCCGGGGCUACACACGUGUUACAAUGGGGGGUACAGAAGGCAGCUAGCGGGUGACCGUAUGCUAAUCCCAAAAUCCUCUCUCAGUUCGGAUCGAAGUCUGCAACCCGACUUCGUGAAGCUGGAUUCGCUAGUAAUCGCGCAUCAGCCACGGCGCGGUGAAUACGUUCCCGGGCCU